Molecule: ribosomal RNA, 2055 nt
Filed under: Listeria monocytogenes
Lineage: Bacteria; Bacillati; Bacillota; Bacilli; Caryophanales; Listeriaceae
Description: partial 23S ribosomal RNA
Rfam family: Bacterial large subunit ribosomal RNA
Source: RNAcentral
GGUUAAGUUAGAAAGGGCGCACGGUGGAUGCCUUGGCACUAGGAGCCGAAGAAGGACGGGACUAACACCGAUAUGCUUUGGGGAGCUGUACGUAAGCGUUGAUCCAGAGAUUUCCGAAUGGGGGAACCCACUAUCUUUAGUCGGAUAGUAUCCUUACGUGAAUACAUAGCGUGAGGAAGGCAGACCCAGGGAACUGAAACAUCUAAGUACCUGGAGGAAGAGAAAGAAAAAUCGAUUUCCUGAGUAGCGGCGAGCGAAACGGAAAGAGCCCAAACCAAGAAGCUUGCUUCUUGGGGUUGUAGGACACUCUAUACGGAGUUACAAAAGAAAGUUAUAAAUGAAGCGGUCUGGAAAGGCCCGCCAAAGACGGUAACAGCCCGGUAGUUGAAAUGGCUUUCCCUCCAGAGUGGAUCCUGAGUACGGCGGAACACGUGAAAUUCCGUCGGAAUCCGGGAGGACCAUCUCCCAAGGCUAAAUACUCCCUAGUGACCGAUAGUGAACCAGUACCGUGAGGGAAAGGUGAAAAGCACCCCGGAAGGGGAGUGAAACAGUUCCUGAAACCGUGUGCCUACAAGUAGUUAGAGCCCGUUAAUGGGUGAUAGCGUGCCUUUUGUAGAAUGAACCGGCGAGUUACGAUUUGUUGCAAGGUUAAGCGGAAAAAGCGGAGCCGUAGCGAAAGCGAGUCUGAAUAGGGCGCAUAAGUAACAGGUCGUAGACCCGAAACCAGGUGAUCUACCCAUGUCCAGGAUGAAGGUAAGGUAAUACUUACUGGAGGUCCGAACCCACGCACGUUGAAAAGUGCGGGGAUGAGGUGUGGGUAGCGGAGAAAUUCCAAUCGAACUUGGAGAUAGCUGGUUCUCUCCGAAAUAGCUUUAGGGCUAGCCUCGAGGUAAAGAGUCAUGGAGGUAGAGCACUGUUUGGACUAGGGGCCCUUCUCGGGUUACCGAAUUCAGAUAAACUCCGAAUGCCAUGUACUUAUACUCGGGAGUCAGACUGCGAGUGAUAAGAUCCGUAGUCGAAAGGGAAACAGCCCAGACCACCAGUUAAGGUCCCCAAAUAUAUGUUAAGUGGAAAAGGAUGUGGGGUUGCUUAGACAACCAGGAUGUUGGCUUAGAAGCAGCCACCAUUGAAAGAGUGCGUAAUAGCUCACUGGUCGAGUGACCCCGCGCCGAAAAUGUACCGGGGCUAAACAUAUUACCGAAACUGUGGAUGAACCUCUUUAGAGGUUCGUGGUAGGAGAGCGUUCUAAGGGCGGUGAAGUCAGACCGGAAGGACUGGUGGAGCGCUUAGAAGUGAGAAUGCCGGUAUGAGUAGCGAAAGAAGGGUGAGAAUCCCUUCCACCGAAUAUCUAAGGUUUCCUGAGGAAGGCUCGUCCGCUCAGGGUUAGUCGGGACCUAAGCCGAGGCCGAUAGGCGUAGGCGAUGGACAACAGGUAGAGAUUCCUGUACCAGUGCUAAUUGUUUAACCGAUGGGGUGACACAGAAGGAUAGGGAAUCGCACGAAUGGAAAUGUGCGUCCAAGCAGUGAGUGUGAGAAGUAGGCAAAUCCGCUUCUCGCGAAGCAUGAGCUGUGAUGGGGAAGGAAAUUAAGUACGGAAGUUCCUGAUUUCACGCUGUCAAGAAAAGCCUCUAGGAAGAGUAGUACUGCCCGUACCGCAAACCGACACAGGUAGAUGAGGAGAGAAUCCUAAGGUGAGCGAGAGAACUCUCGUUAAGGAACUCGGCAAAAUGACCCCGUAACUUCGGGAGAAGGGGUGCUCUAUUAGGGUGCAAGCCCGAGAGAGCCGCAGUGAAUAGGCCCAGGCGACUGUUUAGCAAAAACACAGGUCUCUGCAAAACCGUAAGGUGACGUAUAGGGGCUGACGCCUGCCCGGUGCUGGAAGGUUAAGAGGAGUGCUUAGCUUCGGCGAAGGUACGAAUUGAAGCCCCAGUAAACGGCGGCCGUAACUAUAACGGUCCUAAGGUAGCGAAAUUCCUUGUCGGGUAAGUUCCGACCCGCACGAAAGGCGCAACGAUCUGGGCACUGUCUCAACGAGAGACUCGGUGAAAUUAUAGU